RNAcentral lists this ribosomal RNA (448 nucleotides) under uncultured bacterium. RNAcentral describes it as "bacterial SSU rRNA". It matches the Rfam family "Bacterial small subunit ribosomal RNA", at positions 328 to 793 of the family's 1533-position model. The record is from RNAcentral.
CUUCCAGACUCCUACGGGAGGCAGCAGUGGGGAAUAUUGCACAAUGGGGGAAACCCUGAUGCAGCGACGCCGCGUGAGUGAAGAAGUCUUUCGGUAUGUAAAGCUCUAUCAGCAGGGAAGAAAAUGACGGUACCUGACUAAGAAGCCCCGGCUAACUACGUGCCAGCAGCCGCGGUAAUACGUAGGGGGCAAGCGUUAUCCGGAUUUACUGGGUGUAAAGGGAGCGUAGACGGCAGGGCAAGUCUGAAGUGAAAGCCCGGGGCCCAACCCCGGGACUGCUUUGGAAACUGUCCGGCUGGAGUGCAGGAGGGGUGGGCGGAAUUCCUAGUGUAGCGGUGAAAUGCGUAGAUAUUAGGAGGAACACCGGCGGCGAAGGCGGCCCACUGGACUGUAACUGACGUUGAGGCUCGAAAGCGUGGGGAGCAAACAGGAUUAGAUACCCCGGUAC